ACUACGGGUGGCAGCAGUGGGGAAUAUUGGGCAAUGGGCGCAAGCCUGACCCAGCAACGCCGCGUGAAGGAAGAAGGCUUUCGGGUUGUAAACUUCUUUUCUCAGGGACGAAGAAAGUGACGGUACCUGAGGAAUAAGCCACGGCUAACUACGUGCCAGCAGCCGCGGUAAUACGUAGGUGGCAAGCUUUAUCCGGAUUUAUUGGGUGUAAAGGGCGUGUAGGCGGGAGAGCAAGUCAGAUGGGAAAACUCAGGGCUCAACCCUGAGCCUGCAUUUGAAACUGUGUUUCUUGAGUGCUGGAGAGGCAAUCGGAAUUCCGUGUGUAGCGGUGAAAUGCGUCGAUAUACGGAGGAACACCAGUGGCGAAGGCGGAUUGCUGGACAGUAACUGACGCUGAGGCGCGAAAGCGUGGGGAGCAAACAGGAUUAGAUACCCGGGUAGUC
Molecule: ribosomal RNA, 443 nt
Filed under: uncultured bacterium
Lineage: Bacteria
Description: partial 16S ribosomal RNA
Rfam family: Bacterial small subunit ribosomal RNA
Source: RNAcentral